RNAcentral lists this ribosomal RNA (465 nucleotides) under Vreelandella stevensii. Its description in RNAcentral is "partial 16S ribosomal RNA". It matches the Rfam family "Bacterial small subunit ribosomal RNA", at positions 338 to 795 of the family's 1533-position model. Lineage: Bacteria; Pseudomonadati; Pseudomonadota; Gammaproteobacteria; Oceanospirillales; Halomonadaceae. The record is from RNAcentral.
CCUACGGGUGGCAGCAGUGGGGAAUAUUGGACAAUGGGCGAAAGCCUGAUCCAGCCAUGCCGCGUGUGUGAAGAAGGCCUUCGGGUUGUAAAGCACUUUCAGUGGGGAAGAAAGCCUUGGGGCUAAUACCCUCGAGGAAGGACAUCACCCACAGAAUAAGCACCGGCUAACUCCGUGCCAGCAGCCGCGGUAAUACGGAGGGUGCGAGCGUUAAUCGGAAUUACUGGGCGUAAAGCGCGCGUAGGCGGUCUGAUAAGCCGGUUGUGAAAGCCCCGGGCUCAACCUGGGAACGGCAUCCGGAACUGUCAGGCUAGAGUGCAGGAGAGGAAGGUAGAAUUCCCGGUGUAGCGGUGAAAUGCGUAGAGAUCGGGAGGAAUACCAGUGGCGAAGGCGGCCUUCUGGACUGACACUGACGCUGAGGUGCGAAAGCGUGGGUAGCAAACAGGAUUAGAUACCCUAGUAGUC